Molecule: ribosomal RNA, 533 nt
Filed under: uncultured bacterium
Lineage: Bacteria
Description: bacterial SSU rRNA
Rfam family: Bacterial small subunit ribosomal RNA
Source: RNAcentral
AAUAGAUACCCAGGUAGUCCACGCCGUAAACGGUGGGCACUAGGUGUGGGCAACAUUCCACGUUGUCCGUGCCGCAGCUAACGCAUUAAGUGCCCCGCCUGGGGAGUACGGCCGCAAGGCUAAAACUCAAAGGAAUUGACAGGGGCCCGCACAAGCGGCGGAGCAUGUGGCUUAAUUCGACGCAACGCGAAGAACCUUACCAAGGCUUGACAUACACCGGAAAGCAUCAGAGAUGGUGCCCCCCUUGUGGUCGGUGUACAGGUGGUGCAUGGCUGUCGUCAGCUCGUGUCGUGAGAUGUUGGGUUAAGUCCCGCAACGAGCGCAACCCUUGUCCCGUGUUGCCAGCAACUCUUCGGAGGUUGGGGACUCACGGGAGACCGCCGGGGUCAACUCGGAGGAAGGUGGGGACGACGUCAAGUCAUCAUGCCCCUUAUGUCUUGGGCUGCACACGUGCUACAAUGGCCGGUACAAUGAGCUGCGAUACCGCAAGGUGGAGCGAAUCUCAAAAAGCCGGUCUCAGUUCGGAUUGGGGU